GCGACCCCAGGUCAGGGCGGGGUUACCCGCUGAAUUUAA
Molecule: ribosomal RNA, 39 nt
Filed under: Rosa odorata var. odorata
Lineage: Eukaryota; Viridiplantae; Streptophyta; Magnoliopsida; Rosales; Rosaceae
Description: partial 26S ribosomal RNA
Source: RNAcentral